RNAcentral lists this ribosomal RNA (496 nucleotides) under uncultured bacterium. RNAcentral's name for it is "partial 16S ribosomal RNA". It matches the Rfam family "Bacterial small subunit ribosomal RNA", at positions 28 to 507 of the family's 1533-position model. The record is from RNAcentral.
GAUGAACGCUGGCGGCGUGCCUAAUACAUGCAAGUCGAGCGAACGGACGAGAAGCUUGCUUCUCUGAUGUUAGCGGCGGACGGGUGAGUAACACGUGGAUAACCUACCUAUAAGACUGGGAUAACUUCGGGAAACCGUAGCUAAUACCGGAUAAUAUUUUGAACCGCAUGGUUCAAAAGUGAAAGACGGUCUUGCUGUCACUUAUAGAUGGAUCCGCGCUGCAUUAGCUAGUUGGUAAGGUAACGGCUUACCAAGGCAACGAUGCAUAGCCGACCUGAGAGGGGGAUCGGCCACCGGGGAACGAGGAAACGGACCAACCCCCGACGGGAGGCAGGGGGAGGAAUCCUUCCGGAAGGGGCAAAAGCGAAGCGGGGAAACGGGGCGGGAGUGAGAAAGGUCUUCGGAUCGUAAACCCUUUUUAUUAGGGAAGAACAAAGGUGUAAGAAACGGUACAAAUUUUACAGGAACCAAAGAAAAAGCCCCGGCUAAAUCCCGG